Xenia sp. Carnegie-2017 is the source of this 562-nucleotide long non-coding RNA. RefSeq lists it as uncharacterized. The transcript is spliced from 2 exons. The record is from RefSeq and is a predicted model, not a curated record. Lineage: Eukaryota; Metazoa; Cnidaria; Anthozoa; Malacalcyonacea; Xeniidae.
AACUCGCAGUUAUUUUUUCCAAAAAUUCACAUCAUGAAAGGUAUAACAUUCCUCAGACAACAAGAUUAUAUGUACGUUCUUAGAAUGUUGAAGAAUAUCGUUUUCGUAUGAAGUCAUCUUCUGAAUAACGCUCUAAAUUCAGCUCAAGUUCAAGUGCGUUUGUGACAUUGUAUGCAUGGCAUUGUAUAUAAACUUAUGUGACACCAAGAUGCAUAAAAGCUUUAUCCUGAUCAUAUGAUUGCCGGCAUAAACUUUAUUGCUUUCUCUUGAUUUUUCAAUUUGUGAUGACGUGUAUAUAGAUAUUGUUAACGAGAGUUUCUCAUUAAGAUAUUUUAUUCAGUAUUCGUGUUUGUAAGUGAAAAAAUUGUCUAGUUUUCCUUGCCAGGCUGCAUCGUCGAUAAGUUUGUUAUAAGUUUAAUUUAAAGGAAAAUUUGUCGUUUCCACCAUGCAUCAAAAUAGAAAACAGUUAUAAAUGAUUGUUGUACUUCUUGUAAGAUAAUUUUUAAUGAGUUAAAGUUUGAUUAAAUGCACAGUUGCUUCAAUUGUUUUGAAAGAUGAAAAA